GAACUUCGCACGAUUUUCAAAGAAAAGUCUAUUUUGGAGUCCACACUUUUCAGACCGCGAAAAAAUUCUCCGGACUGCUUGGUGUACGUUUGCCUGCAUGAUGGAGUUGGCUUAGAGGUCUGCAGCUUAUUAAAGAAGUUAAUACAAUAUGAUAUUGAAGUCACCGCGGGACAUAACGUUAUAGAAGAAGUUUUUAAAGUUUCCAUUUGACCUUCAGGACAGUUGGAACAACAGAAUGCAGCCUGACAGCAUCAGACCAGUGAAGGCAUGUCAUAUGAAAGCAUGGCUCAGUACAAGAUGCAAGUAUUUCUCAUUAUCUAUAUACCAUGGUUUUAAUGGCUUACAUACUAUUUUAAAUUUGUAGGUUUUUACUUACAAACAACAAUAAAUGUACACAUAUAUGUUUCAAAUUAUUUUCUAGGUAUUCAUCGAAAAAUGAGAGAUCAACUGAAGAAUGCUAUGGUCCUGACUCUAAGGUACCCUUUCUAAAUUUUCUCUACUUAAUUAAUAUUAUUAAAUUCUAGCUUUGUAUGGAUUCCUUCAUAUUUGUUUGGAU
Molecule: non-coding RNA, 556 nt
Organism: Danio rerio (zebrafish)
Lineage: Eukaryota; Metazoa; Chordata; Actinopteri; Cypriniformes; Danionidae
Source: RefSeq, a predicted model, not a curated record